AUUGAACGCUGGCGGCAUGCUUUACACAUGCAAGUCGAACGGUAACAGGUUAAGCUGACGAGUGGCGAACGGGUGAGUAAUGCAUCGGAACGUGCCCGGUCGUGGGGGAUAACGCAGCGAAAGCUGCGCUAAUACCGCAUACGAUCUGAGGAUGAAAGCGGGGGACCGUAAGGCCUCGCGCGAUCGGAGCGGCCGAUGUCAGAUUAGGUAGUUGGUGGGGUAAAGGCUCACCAAGCCAACGAUCUGUAGCUGGUCUGAGAGGACGACCAGCCACACUGGGACUGGGACACGGCCCAGACUCCUACGGGAGGCAGCAGUGGGGAAUUUUGGACAAUGGGCGAAAGCCUGAUCCAGCAAUGCCGCGUGCAGGAAGAAGGCCUUCGGGUUGUAAACUGCUUUUGUACGGAGCGAAAAGGUCUCCUCUAAUACAGGGGGCUCAUGACGGUACCGUAAGAAUAAGCACCGGCUAACUACGUGCCAGCAGCCGCGGUAA
RNAcentral lists this ribosomal RNA (493 nucleotides) under uncultured bacterium. RNAcentral describes it as "partial 16S ribosomal RNA". It matches the Rfam family "Bacterial small subunit ribosomal RNA", at positions 29 to 523 of the family's 1533-position model. The record is from RNAcentral.